This 610-nucleotide ribosomal RNA is filed under the name Thamiaraea americana. Its description in RNAcentral is "partial 16S ribosomal RNA". It matches the Rfam family "Bacterial large subunit ribosomal RNA", at positions 1819 to 2712 of the family's 2925-position model. The record is from RNAcentral. Lineage: Eukaryota; Metazoa; Arthropoda; Insecta; Coleoptera; Staphylinidae.
GUCUUUUUGAUUUUAAUUUAAAGUCUAACCUGCCCAAUGAGGAGUUGAAUGGCCGCAGUAUUUUGACUGUGCAAAGGUAGCAUAAUCAUUAGUUUCUUAAUUAGGAGCUAGAAUGAAAGGUUGGACGAGAAAAUAACUGUCUCUUUAUAAAUUUUUUAGAAUUUUAUUUUUAAGUUAAAAAGCUUAAAUUUAUUUAAAAGACGAGAAGACCCUAUAGAGUUUUAUAUAUAAAUAAUGUAUUAAUUAAAUUUGAAUUUUUAUAAUUAAAUUUUAUUAUAUAUUUGAUUGGGGUGAUUAAAAAAUUUAAUUAACUUUUUUUUUAUAUAAACAUUAAUAUAUGAUUUAUUGAUCCAUAAUUUUAUGAUUAAAAGAUUAAAUUACCUUAGGGAUAACAGCGUAAUUUUUUUGAAGAGUUCUAAUCGAUAAAAAAGUUUGCGACCUCGAUGUUGGAUUAAAAUUUAUUUUUGGUGUAGAAGCUAAAAAAUUAGGUCUGUUCGACCUUUAAAAUUUUACAUGAUCUGAGUUUAAACCGGUGUGAGCCAGGUUGGUUUCUAUCUUUAAAAGAUUUUUAUAUUUUAGUACGAAAGGACCAAAUAUAAAUAAUAAUUAU